UCCAGGGUAGCCUAGUGGUCAUGGCAUCUGCCCAGUAAGCGGAAGGUCGUGGGUUCGAUUUGUUGGGAG
Molecule: non-coding RNA, 69 nt
Organism: Cordylochernes scorpioides
Lineage: Eukaryota; Metazoa; Arthropoda; Arachnida; Pseudoscorpiones; Chernetidae
Source: the annotation of a GenBank genome assembly